Molecule: transfer RNA, 74 nt
Filed under: Actinospica robiniae DSM 44927
Lineage: Bacteria; Bacillati; Actinomycetota; Actinomycetes; Catenulisporales; Actinospicaceae
Rfam family: tRNA
About the family: Transfer RNA (tRNA) molecules are approximately 80 nucleotides in length. Their secondary structure includes four short double-helical elements and three loops (D, anti-codon, and T loops).
Source: Rfam by way of RNAcentral
GCGCUCGUGCCGCAACGGGUAGACGGGCCGGCUUGAGGAGCCGGUGGCUGAGGGUUCGAAUCCCUCCGAGCGCA